UGCAGUCGAGCGAAGGGAGUACUACGGUACGAACUUAGCGGCGGACGGGUGAGUAACGCGUGGACAAUCUACCCUGUAGACUGGGAUAACACCUCGAAAGGGGUGCUAAUACCGGAUAAUGUCGAGAAGCGGCAUCGCUUUUCGAAGAAAGGAGGGAAUCCGCUAUAGGAGGAGUCCGCGUCCCAUUAGCUAGUUGGUGAGGGUAACGGCCCACCAAGGCGACGAUGGGUAGCCGGCCUGAGAGGGUGAACGGCCACACUGGAACUGAGACACGGUCCAGACUCCUACGGGAGGCAGCAGUGGGGAAUAUUGUGCAAUGGGGGAAACCCUGACACAGCGACGCCGCGUGAGUGAAGAAGGCCUUCGGGUCGUAAAGCUCAAUAGUAUGGGAAGAAAGAAAUGACGGUACCAUACGAAAGCCCCGGCUAACUACGUGCCAGCAGCCGCGGUAAUACGUAGGGGGCGAGCGUUGUCCGGAAUUACUGGGCGUAAAGAGCACGUAGGCGGCUAUAAAAGUCAGAUGUGAAAAACCUGGGCUCAACCGAGGGUAUGCAUCUGAAACUAAAUAGCUUGAGUCAAGGAGAGGAGAGCGGAAUUCCU
This 600-nucleotide ribosomal RNA is filed under the name bacterium stJ3-27F. RNAcentral describes it as "bacterial SSU rRNA". It matches the Rfam family "Bacterial small subunit ribosomal RNA", at positions 56 to 671 of the family's 1533-position model. The record is from RNAcentral. RNAcentral also lists the same sequence under 1 other name.